This 548-nucleotide ribosomal RNA is filed under the name uncultured Glomus. Its description in RNAcentral is "SSU rRNA". It matches the Rfam family "Eukaryotic small subunit ribosomal RNA", at positions 548 to 1098 of the family's 1831-position model. Lineage: Eukaryota; Fungi; Glomeromycota; Glomeromycetes; Glomerales; Glomeraceae. The record is from RNAcentral.
UUGGAGGGCAAGUCUGGUGCCAGCAGCCGCGGUAAUUCCAGCUCCAAUAGCGUAUAUUAAAGUUGUUGCAGUUAAAAAGCUCGUAGUUGAAUUUCGGGAUUAGUACGUCGGUCGCGCCUUAGGUACGUACUGGUGUUACUGGUUCCUACCUUCUGACGAACCAUCAUGUCAUUAAUUUGGUGUGGUGGGGAAUCAGGACUGUUACUUUGAAAAAAUUAGAGUGUUUAAAGCAGGCUCGCGCUUGAAUACAUUAGCAUGGAAUAAUGAAAUAGGACGUUGAUCCUAUUUUGUUGGUUUCUAGGAUUGACGUAAUGAUUAAUAGGGAUAGUUGGGGGCAUUAGUAUUCAAUUGUCAGAGGUGAAAUUCUUGGAUUUAUUGAAGACUAACUACUGCGAAAGCAUUUGCCAAGGAUGUUUUCAUUAAUCAAGAACGAAAGUUAGGGGAUCGAAGACGAUCAGAUACCGUCGUAGUCUUAACCAUAAACUAUGCCGACUAGGGAUCGGAUGAUGUUAAUUUUUUAAUGACUCAUUCGGCACCUUACGGGAAAC